Molecule: ribosomal RNA, 301 nt
Filed under: uncultured bacterium
Lineage: Bacteria
Description: partial 16S ribosomal RNA
Rfam family: Bacterial small subunit ribosomal RNA
Source: RNAcentral
CAGUCGCCACGGUAAUACAGAGGGUGCGAGCGUUAAUCGGAUUUACUGGGCGUAAAGCGUGCGUAGGCGGCUUUUUAAGUCGGAUGUGAAAUCCCUGAGCUUAACUUAGGAAUUGCAUUCGAUACUGGGAAGCUAGAGUAUGGGAGAGGAUGGUAGAAUUCCAGGUGUAGCGGUGAAAUGCGUAGAGAUCUGGAGGAAUACCGAUGGCGAAGGCAGCCAUCUGGCCUAAUACUGACGCUGAGGUACGAAAGCAUGGGGAGCAAACAGGAUUAGAUACCCCUGUAGUCCUGUCUCUUAUACA